AUCCGGCUGGUUAGUCCCAAAUAGAACGAAACGCAUGUCCUGGAU
RNAcentral lists this non-coding RNA (45 nucleotides) under Schistosoma curassoni. Lineage: Eukaryota; Metazoa; Platyhelminthes; Trematoda; Strigeidida; Schistosomatidae. The record is from RNAcentral.